Molecule: microRNA, 22 nt
Filed under: Homo sapiens (human)
Lineage: Eukaryota; Metazoa; Chordata; Mammalia; Primates; Hominidae
Description: hsa-miR-8070
Source: miRBase by way of RNAcentral
AUGUGAUUGACGGCUGACUCCA